AGUGAACGCUGGCGGUAGGCCUAACACAUGCAAGUCGAACGGCAGCACAGGAGAGCUUGCUCUCUGGGUGGCGAGUGGCGGACGGGUGAGGAAUACAUCGGAAUCUACUUUUUCGUGAGGGAUAACGUAGGGAAACUUACGCUAAUACCGCAUACGACCUACGGGUGAAAGCAGGGGACCUUCGGGCCUUGCGCGAUUGAAUGAGCCGAUGUCGGAUUAGCGAGUUGGCGGGGUAAAGGCCCACCAAGGCGACGAUCCGUAGCUGGUCUGAGAGGAUGAUCAGCCACACUGGAACUGAGACACGGUCCAGACUCCUACGGGAGGCAGCAGUGGGGAAUAUUGGACAAUGGGCACAAGCCUGAUCCAGCCAUACCGCGUGGGUGAAGAAGGCCUUCGGGUUGUAAAGCCCUUUUGUUGGGAAAGAAAUCCAGCUGGCUAAUACCCGGUUGGGAUGACGGUACCCAAAGAAUAAGCACCGGCUAACUUCGUGCCAGCAGCCGCAGUAA
RNAcentral lists this ribosomal RNA (506 nucleotides) under uncultured bacterium. RNAcentral describes it as "partial 16S ribosomal RNA". It matches the Rfam family "Bacterial small subunit ribosomal RNA", at positions 29 to 523 of the family's 1533-position model. The record is from RNAcentral.